Molecule: long non-coding RNA, 579 nt
Filed under: Pongo abelii (Sumatran orangutan)
Lineage: Eukaryota; Metazoa; Chordata; Mammalia; Primates; Hominidae
Description: lincRNA
Source: RNAcentral
AAGGUUGCAAAAUGGCGAGGGGGGAGGUAAGCUGUCUUUGCUUGGCCAUCUUGGGCUAGCAGGCCUUGCAGAGAACUACCUUUUUAGCUGAGUGAAGGGAUCAACCUGAGUUGGAGUUCUCCUAUGCUGUGGCCAGAUCCACUAGAAAUUAACCCAGAAUCUUAGCCUCUCACUGGCCUAUCGGUGAUGCCACACUCAAUCAGAAACUAUGCUACUGUUGAAGAGGCAUAUUGAGCUCUGCCUGGUUAACCUCCAGUGAGGUUGUUAGAGAAUUGGGAGAGGCUCAAAUCAGCAUCCUGCACCUAGUUAUCAAACAAUUGUGAAGUCUUGAUUCCUGGAUGGCCAGAAAACUUGUCAUUGGUCAAGAGCAACAUUAAGAUCUGCCUGUUACUCAUACAGAUGCUUCUUGCGCAGCAAGUUCAUCAGAGGGCGAGGAUGAAUUACGGUUGCUAUGAAUGUCCUUGUGAGGCAGUUGGGAAGCCUUGGCUGGAUUGUGAAGGAUAUUUGAAAAGUAUUUUAGACUCCACCAGAUCAUCCAUGUGAGUGACCAUGCAGCAAAAGAAGGAGGGUCCUCUCAGU